Molecule: ribosomal RNA, 550 nt
Filed under: uncultured bacterium
Lineage: Bacteria
Description: bacterial SSU rRNA
Rfam family: Bacterial small subunit ribosomal RNA
Source: RNAcentral
UAGGGAAUCUUCGGCAAUGGACGGAAGUCUGACCGAGCAACGCCGCGUGAGUGAAGAAGGUUUUCGGAUCGUAAAGCUCUGUUGUAAGAGAAGAACGAGUGUGAGAGUGGAAAGUUCACACUGUGACGGUAUCUUACCAGAAAGGGACGGCUAACUACGUGCCAGCAGCCGCGGUAAUACGUAGGUCCCGAGCGUUGUCCGGAUUUAUUGGGCGUAAAGCGAGCGCAGGCGGUUAGAUAAGUCUGAAGUUAAAGGCUGUGGCUUAACCAUAGUAGGCUUUGGAAACUGUUUAACUUGAGUGCAAGAGGGGAGAGUGGAAUUCCAUGUGUAGCGGUGAAAUGCGUAGAUAUAUGGAGGAACACCGGUGGCGAAAGCGGCUCUCUGGCUUGUAACUGACGCUGAGGCUCGAAAGCGCGGGGAGCAAACAGGAUUAGAUACCCUGGUAGUCCACGCUGUAAACGAUGAGUGCUAGGUGUUAGACCCUUUCCGGGGUUUAGUGCCGUAGCUAACGCAUUAAGCACUCCGCCUGGGGAGUACGACCGCAAGGUUG